RNAcentral lists this ribosomal RNA (466 nucleotides) under uncultured bacterium. RNAcentral's name for it is "bacterial SSU rRNA". It matches the Rfam family "Bacterial small subunit ribosomal RNA", at positions 36 to 518 of the family's 1533-position model. The record is from RNAcentral.
CUGGCGGCGCGCCUAACACAUGCAAGUCGAACGGACUUAGAGAGCUUGCUCUUAAGUUAGUGGCGGACGGGUGAGUAACACGUGAGCAACCUGCCUUUCAGAGGGGGACAACAGUUGGAAACGACUGCUAAUACCGCAUAAGACCACGGGAUGGCAUCAUCCAGCGGUCAAAGAUUUAUCGCUGAAAGAUGGGCUCGCGUCCGAUUAGAUAGUUGGUGAGGUAACGGCCCACCAAGUCGACGAUCGGUAGCCGGACUGAGAGGUUGAACGGCCACAUUGGGACUGAGACACGGCCCAGACUCCUACGGGAGGCAGCAGUGGGGGAUAUUGGACAAUUGGGGGGCAACCCUGAUCCAGCGACGCCGCGUGAGGGAAGAAGGUUUUCGGAUUGUAAACCUCUGUUGACAGGGAAGAAAAUGACGGUACCUGUUUAGAAAGCCACGGCUAACUACGUGCCAGCCGCGGC